Long non-coding RNA from Lagopus muta (rock ptarmigan), 249 nucleotides. RefSeq lists it as uncharacterized. The transcript has 3 exons. NCBI's taxonomy places the organism in Eukaryota, Metazoa, Chordata, Aves, Galliformes, Phasianidae. The record is from RefSeq and is a predicted model, not a curated record.
GCAUUUCCUGCAGCCGCCUGAUGUGUCCCUUUUCAUCUGCGGGGAAGAACACCGAAUUCUCACUCGUCUGCCUGUUGUAGCGCCUGGCCACUCUUCCCCAUAGAGGAAUUCUGUAUCAGCCAGCCUGCCAAAUAAAGUAGAAUGAAAGAAUUUCUGAAAAGGUGGCAUAUGAGAAAAGGAACCAAUACAAAGCACUGUUCCUUGCAGUAGAAGGCAAACAGAGCAAAUAGGAGAAAUAAAAAUGAGAAA